RNAcentral lists this ribosomal RNA (465 nucleotides) under uncultured bacterium. RNAcentral's name for it is "partial 16S ribosomal RNA". It matches the Rfam family "Bacterial small subunit ribosomal RNA", at positions 338 to 795 of the family's 1533-position model. The record is from RNAcentral.
UCUACGGGAGGCAGCAGUGGGGAAUAUUGCGCAAUGGGCGAAAGCCUGAAGCAGCGACGCCGCGUGAGGGAUGAAGGUCUUCGGAUCGGAAACCUCUGUCAGCAGGGAAGAACGGUCACUGUGCUAAUCAGCAGUGAAUUGACGGUACCUGCAAAGGAAGCACCGGCUAACUCCGUGCCAGCAGCCGCGGUAAUACGGAGGGGGCGACAGUUAAUCGGAAUUAAUGGGCGUAAAGCGCACGUAGGCGGUAUGGCAAGUCAAGGGUGAACUCCCCGCGCUCAACUAGGGAACUGCCUUUGAAGCUGGCAACCUGGAGUGUGUGAGAGGAUAGUAGAAUUCCAGGUGUAGGAGUGAAAUCGCUAGAUAUCUGGAGGAACAUCAGUGGCGAAGGCGACUAUCUGGCACAUAACUGACGCUGAGGAGCGAAAGCGUGGGUAGCAAACAGGAUUAGAUACCCCUGUAGUC